RNAcentral lists this ribosomal RNA (573 nucleotides) under uncultured Actinomycetes bacterium. RNAcentral describes it as "bacterial SSU rRNA". It matches the Rfam family "Bacterial small subunit ribosomal RNA", at positions 250 to 833 of the family's 1533-position model. Lineage: Bacteria; Bacillati; Actinomycetota; Actinomycetes. The record is from RNAcentral.
UGGUGGAGUACGGCCCACCANGNCGACGACGGGUAGUCUGGUCUGAGAGGACUACCAGCCACACUGGNAACUGUAGUACGGUCCAGACUCCUACGGGAGGCAGCAGUGGGGAAUAUUGCACAAUGGGCGAAAGCCUGAUGCAGCGACGCCGCGUGAGGGAUGAAGGCCUUCGGGUCGUAAACCUCUUUCGGCAGGGACGAAGCGAUCAGUGACGGUACCUGCAGAAGAAGCCCCGGCUAACUACGUGCCAGCAGCCGCGGUAAGACGUAGGGGGCGAGCGUUGUCCGGAUUCAUUGGGCGUAAAGCGCGCGUAGGCGGCUGCGCAAGUCGGUUGUGAAAUUCCGGGGCUCAACCCCGGAACUGCGUCCGAUACUGCGUGGCUAGAGGUAGGUAGGGGAGAUCGGAAUUCCUGGUGUAGCGGUGAAAUGCGCAGAUAUCAGGAGGAACACCGGUGGCGAAGGCGGAUCUCUGGGCCUUACCUGACGCUCAGGCGCGAAAGCUAGGGGAGCGAACAGGAUUAGAUACCCUGGUAGUCCUAGCCGUAAACGUUGGGUGCUAGGUGUGGGCGGAUAU